Long non-coding RNA from Mytilus californianus (California mussel), 2917 nucleotides. RefSeq lists it as uncharacterized. The record is from RefSeq and is a predicted model, not a curated record. Lineage: Eukaryota; Metazoa; Mollusca; Bivalvia; Mytilida; Mytilidae. The transcript is spliced from 7 exons.
AGAACAUACAAUUGCAACAUGUUGUGAAUACAUCGUCCUUUCCAGCAGGUGUAGCUGUUGAUUCCGCCAAUGAUCAUGUCUACUGGGUUGUUAGUGAUGGUAACACACUUUCAAGAUGCAAAUCAGAUGGAACAAACGUAGUUGUAUUCACAAGUUUUAGUGACACUUUUAUGAUCCGAGUUGAUUUUACAAACAGAUGGAUGUAUAUAGGUUAUUUCAAUACAGGAAUAUCCAAGUCCAGAUUCGAUUUAACUGACAUUAGAAUGAUUGCAAAUUUUUCAACUCAGACCCUCUGUAUGGAUAUAGACCUGAUUGAACAAAGAAUGUAUUGGAUGAAUAUCGAUAGUGAUAUAAAAUCAGUUAAUGUGGAUGGUUCUGAUGUUAAAACUAUAUUUUCAAUGCAUUCUUUUAACAUCAACUAUGCUGUAGGGGUAUUGUUUAGUAAUAUUUACUAUGCUAGUAGAAAUCAGUUAGUGAUGAUGAAUAAAUCACAGGGAUCCACACCAACUGUUCUAUAUACAGACACAAGCUUCAUUUAUAGCAUAUAUGUAUUUAAAUCAACAGGUAUGUGAUUAAUCUUGAAAUAAGACUUAAAACAAUUACCAAUAUCAGAAGUUGAGACAUGACGCUUUUGAAAUCAAAACUAAUUGAUGAUGUCAUACUUGAAAAAUAAAACAAAAAACACUACUAAACAUAUAAAGACAUGAGAAAACGGGCAAUUAAUCCCAAUUACGGAAAAAAUAAGAAAUCAAAGAAAGAUAUGCUUAACAAAAAAGUUAAAAAAAAUGUAAACAACAGUGAAAAAACAUCGAGUAAGACGAACUACUAAUAGAGGAAAAUAUUUUCUGAAUCAUUUGUUUGAUAAUGUACUUGAAUUAACUUUAAAAUAAGCAAUAUGAGGUUUAUACAUUAUCACAGAAAGGUAAUUCUUACUGCAGUUAAAUCUUCAAUCUUCAAAGUUGUAACACUCGUCCCGUAGUUAUACCCAUUAAAAAUUAUAUGUAAUACACGGCUAUGACACCCAUCAAACAAAAUGCACGACGAAGCUAACUGAACAAAUUUACCUUUGCUUAUAUUAGACUGUGAAAUAGUAAAAUUAGUAUGAUAUAACAUUAUCUAAUUUUGGUACUCAUAUUUUGAAACAUUUUGAUACAUGUUGUACUUAUAGCUUUGGCUUUGAUAUAGUUAUUCUUAACAUGUGUAUUGUGAAUUGCCUAUUGCUUUGUUAUUGUAUUCAAUAUUAUUAAACAAUUUGCAUUCACAUUACUGUAUAUGCGUUAGUUCUACCGACUUUACUUUCUCUAGCUAUUGAUAUAACGGCGGCUUCUAUUUUUUUAACAUUAAACGCCAAUGAAAACUACUGUAUUUAUUUAGAAUCAAUUGCUGCAUUUCAGGACGUUUAUUUACUGUGUUUAUUUACAGCGGGAAACUUCUAUUGACUUUAUUUAUUUAACGUAUUGUUGUUUUAAACUGUGACUUCCUUAUAUCAAUAAGAAUAUGAUCAAGUUAAAAGAAGUAUUGUGUUUGUAUUUUUUUUUUAAUUUUUUUAACGACAAGGGAUCAUUAAAACGGUAAAAUUAAGAUUUGUUUUAGGGGCUUUAAAUGAAAUACUACGACAUAACUAUUUUGAUCUAAAUGCGAUAGAUAAUAUUACAUUUCUGUUAAUAUAAGUCAUUUAGCACAGUUGUGUCACAACCAUUUUUUCUAUAGAAUAAUAAGUAUGUUUUAUAAUCAAAUUCAAUUCUUCAAGUCCCUAUUCUAUAUUUGCUAAACUUUUAUUUCAAAACCAUUGUUUUAGAAGUAUUUUCUUUCCAAUGUUAGAAGUAAAGAGCAAAAAGCAAAUGAAACAAAAUUCAAAUAAACAUAAUUAAGUAUUUUUUUUAAACAUUUUAAUGGAUCGACGUCAAUACUGCAACGACUUCAGCAAAUGAUGCAGUAGUUUGGAAGGAAGAAACAGAAUCAAGAUUGGCAAUUUGCGACCUAUGAUUGUAUUGAUAAUACACUUACAUCUUGUCCUCAUCAAUGUGGCCAUUUUUGAUAAUCUAGAUUUUGUACUACAGCUUCGACAUGAAAUUGCAGGACGGUAGGAUUCCAGAUAAGGUUAAGGACUUUUACAAAAUUAUGUUAUAAAUCAUAUCAGACCAGAAGCACUGAAUACUGCCUUGAUCUCCUCAGUGGUAUCGACCUUUUUUAUGAAAACGAAAAGAUGUUUCAUACUUGGCUAUGCGGUUGACACGACAACGAGAUACAGUGGGACUGCGAAAAGAGGUGUUUCCAGCUUUAUGUUAGAAAUCAUGACCAUAACGUCACUUUGCAUAAAUAAUAUGCACAAACUGUCACAUAAAAUGGAAUACGACUGCCAACAACAAAAGUUAUAAUGUGUAGGAAAAUGAACGAUGCUCAACAUUUUUGAUUAGUUGAUACAAAAACAAACCAACAGAGUUUCGAGAAGAAAGGAAACAUUGGUCUCAAAUUAGCAUCCUACACUUAAAAAAAUGGAGCCCCUUACAAAAAAGUACGGAUUCCAGAGCGAAAUAAAACAACGACGCGUCGUUUAUAAAAGUAAAAACAAGGACAGUUGACUUAAAAUAGAUGCAUUAAAUCUUUGAAACAGUGUGUAUUGAUGCUACAUCUUAUGUGUCUUUAGUGUAUAUAUAAUAGUAAAAUCCCCCUGUUACAAAUAUUGACAAUAGAGAACUUUCAAUAAUGCAAGGAAAGGCAGAGAAAUAAAAUAAAAGAAACAUUAAUUCAGUCUCAGAUGCUUAAUUCAACCUUCGUUUUUUUCGGAAAUUUGCGUUGGUUCGUUCAAAUUGUAAAUAUGAUGCUAAAUUUUAAAAAAAUCCAUUAGUGAUCCACAACAACAUGAAAUACAUAGCUUCUUUGAUUCAUAUGCAGUAUAUAUCUUAUAUGCAGUCUU